GUGCCCUCUCGGCCUCGCUGUCUCCUGACAGUGGGCAUCUGGGUAUUUUGAGCAGGUUUCUGAGGUCAAAGACCCUAAACACUGCCCACUGGAGAAUAUACCGCCCCACCACUGGUGCCCUCUUGCUGCUGACGGCCCUCCAUCUCUGUGACCAGGUGAGUGCCUAUGGCUUCAUCACCCAGGGCCACGAGCGCUUCUCUGACCACUACUACGAUAAGACGUGGAAACGGCUGAUCUUUUACACAAACCAUGACUUCCGGUUAGAGAAAGCAGUAUGGAAGCGGCUUCAUGAUGAAGGCCUCAUCCGGCUGUACCAGCGUCCAGAGAACCCGAAAGAGAAGAACUGACCAGCUCGGCUUCAGGAAUCUCCUGAUCAUGCACACCAUAGGGUGGCAGGGCUCCUCAGGUGUCCCCACCCAUUUCCUAGGACUCAAACAGGCUCCAAGCCCUUGGAGAGUCCCAAGGAACAGCUGUGAGGAGCCAGAGGAUUGGGAGCCCUCUGGGAAGUCAUUACUAACUCAAUGCACAUACAUAGACACCAACAAUUCAUUUCAGGUGACUGUUCAAAUUCCGUCUUCAAGAUUUUGGGCUCUGGGACCUAAAAUAACACUAACUGAGGCUCUCGGUAGUAAAUGGGACAAAACAAAACAAAAUGAAAAAAACAAAACAAACUAGCAAACAAAACAACCUUCUUUUAGACUUAAUGCCCAGUAGGGUACCAAAAGGUCUGGGAUUUGCUUAGGCAGUGCAGUAGCGGCUCCAGUGGACACUGACUGCUUCUCCUUGUGGAGGGAAGAGGAUUCACAGACAAGUGUGAGUCCCAAGAAAUAUGGGAUGGACGGAGCCCGCGACCCUGCUUUGGAGUGCUUUACCCCAGCAGUGCUUCUGCAGAGUGGAGCCAUCCCAGCGCUCCAAAGCACAAUCUGGUGCAGGGCUGAGCAGGACGAAGUGGCCUAGAGCAAUGCAAGGGGCGAGGGCAGCCCGAGAUGCAGCUGGACAGGAAACGCAGCAUUGCCCGGAGGUGGCCUCAAGGAGGAUGCCUGAAGGAUGCAUCUGCCCAGGGUCGCCCCUUUCCCUGUGUUCUGUUCUGAGCAACUCUCAGGCUAGCAGGUGGUGUUGGGAGAGAGUGCUGCGGAGACCACCACCGCCACUUCUCAGAUCUCCAGAGCGACAGUUGCUGCCCCUGCUGCCCUGUCACCACAGCUGUGCGGGGGUGGUCUCCACAUUCACUGAACAGGAGAGAAAACACAGGUGCAGGAAAGUCCUUUGCCAAAGUCUGUCCCAAGUCCAAGUUGACCCCAGGUCAACUCAGCCUAGCUUAGGUGAUUUUGUUACUGUUAUGGAUUGUAAUGUAAAUAUUUUUAGAGAUAGAGGUUUGAAUUCAGGCUCCUGAGGGUGACUGAGUGGAGUCACGACUCUGUCAGUUCACUAGAGACAAAUUAGCAGUCUCUGUACGCUGCUUAAACCAUCCGAGAUUCCGCACUGAACAAGAAGCUCGCCUGGACCCCAGGGCAGACAACUGGUGAGUUUCAUUCAGCCGACUGGUGCCAAUCUGCACUGUUUCCGAGGCAGGAGCCAAGUGUGUUCCUAUGCUCGCAUGAUGUGAAAAAGAAACCAAAAAUGGUGCAAACCUUUAGGUCCUGCUGGAUUUGUUUCUGCCCUCCCUUCUUGUUCUCCAAAGAUUAAAUUCAAUAUGUUUGAGCUGUCUUAUAGGUAAUUUAAA
Non-coding RNA from Myodes glareolus (Bank vole), 1723 nucleotides. Lineage: Eukaryota; Metazoa; Chordata; Mammalia; Rodentia; Cricetidae. The record is from RefSeq and is a predicted model, not a curated record.